AUGAACGCUGGCGGCGUGCCUAAUACAUGCAAGUCGAGCGAACUGAUUAGAAGCUUGCUUCUAUGACGUUAGCGGCGGACGGGUGAGUAACACGUGGGCAACCUGCCUGUAAGACUGGGAUAACUUCGGGAAACCGAAGCUAAUACCGGAUAGGAUCUUCUCCUUCAUGGGAGAUGAUUGAAAGAUGGUUUCGGCUAUCACUUACAGAUGGGCCCGCGGUGCAUUAGCUAGUUGGUGAGGUAACGGCUCACCAAGGCAACGAUGCAUAGCCGACCUGAGAGGGUGAUCGGCCACACUGGGACUGAGACACGGCCCAGACUCCUACGGGAGGCAGCAGUAGGGAAUCUUCCGCAAUGGACGAAAGUCUGACGGAGCAACGCCGCGUGAGUGAUGAAGGCUUUCGGGUCGUAAAACUCUGUU
RNAcentral lists this ribosomal RNA (420 nucleotides) under Bacillus sp. (in: firmicutes). RNAcentral describes it as "bacterial SSU rRNA". It matches the Rfam family "Bacterial small subunit ribosomal RNA", at positions 29 to 437 of the family's 1533-position model. Lineage: Bacteria; Bacillati; Bacillota; Bacilli; Caryophanales; Bacillaceae. The record is from RNAcentral.